Molecule: transfer RNA, 75 nt
Filed under: Terriglobia bacterium
Lineage: Bacteria; Pseudomonadati; Acidobacteriota; Terriglobia
Description: tRNA-Glu
Rfam family: tRNA
About the family: Transfer RNA (tRNA) molecules are approximately 80 nucleotides in length. Their secondary structure includes four short double-helical elements and three loops (D, anti-codon, and T loops).
Source: RNAcentral
GGCAGUGUCGUCUAAAGGCUAGGAUGCGGCCCUUUCAAGGCUGAGAUGGGAGUUCAAUUCUCCCUGCUGCUACCA